AGUCAUAUGAAUCAAUCGAUCGAUCUGAGUCUGAUGUGAAAUCCCAAUGAAAAAUUCUUUUUCCAUUAUUUCACUCUGCCAUGGCCAUGGGCUUAAGGACUCGAUCUUUCGAUCAUCAUAGGACUACUCCUCUCAUCUACCGAGGUUGAUAGAUCCCAUCUUGGUGCGACCUAGUUCCUACAAUGAAUAUGCUACAGCCAACAUACACCUCAGGAUUCCGAAUGGCUAGAAGAUCGAGUUAUGGUGUAGUCAAACUAUAACACACUCAAGGUGAACUGUCGAUGUACCUCAGGUCAAAGAACUAGACACAC
This 311-nucleotide long non-coding RNA is filed under the name Elaeis guineensis (African oil palm). Its description in RNAcentral is "long non-coding RNA (EGUI_LNC074210)". The record is from RNAcentral. Lineage: Eukaryota; Viridiplantae; Streptophyta; Magnoliopsida; Arecales; Arecaceae.